GGAUUAGAUACCCUGGUAGUCCACGCAGUAAACGUUGUUCACUAGGUGUAGCGGGUAUUGACCCCUGCUGUGCCGCAGCUAACGCAUUAAGUGAACCGCCUGGGGAGUACGGCCGCAAGGCUAAAACUCAAAGGAAUUGACGGGGGCCCGCACAAGCGGUGGAGCAUGUGGUUUAAUUCGACGCAACGCGAAGAACCUUACCUGGACUUGACAUCUCGGGAAUUUCUUGGAAACUUGAAAGUGCCCUUCGGGGAGCCCGAUGACAGGUGCUGCAUGGCUGUCGUCAGCUCGUGCCG
This 296-nucleotide ribosomal RNA is filed under the name uncultured bacterium. RNAcentral describes it as "partial 16S ribosomal RNA". It matches the Rfam family "Bacterial small subunit ribosomal RNA", at positions 775 to 1067 of the family's 1533-position model. The record is from RNAcentral.